This 244-nucleotide unclassified non-coding RNA is filed under the name Hevea brasiliensis (rubber tree). Lineage: Eukaryota; Viridiplantae; Streptophyta; Magnoliopsida; Malpighiales; Euphorbiaceae. The record is from RNAcentral.
AAAGAGGGGAAGCGGAGCGAGCAGGGCUGCGAGACGGUGUCGUAUUAAUGUAAUUAUUAUUGUCAUUAUCGUUGCUAGCAUUAGCCAUAGGAACCGAAGAAGCAACCGCAGCUGCACGAUACGAAUAGGCGGUUUGGAUGGGCGUUGAUUGACCGUUGGAUCCGUCUUCAUCUGGCCCUUUUACUCCCUCUUCUCUACCGUUUACAUUUCCCAUCUAUCCUCUCCUUCCCUAAUCUAACUUUCC